GGCACUCAGGACCCUCAGGACCCCACCAGUGCGAAUGCAUAAACAACUUUAAAAGCCCAUUAAGAGACUCAGGGUAGCCCCAAAUCCAGACGCCUACCGAGUGGCACUCAGGACCCUCAGGACCCCACCAGUGCGAAUGCAUAAACAACUUUAAAAGCCCAUUAAGAGACUCAGGGUAGCCCCAAAUCCAGACGCCUACCGAGUGGCACUCAGGACCCUCAGGACCCCACCAGUGCGAAUGCAUAAACAACUUUAAAAGCCCAUUAAGAGACUCAGGGUAAAUAAAUAACUACCCCUUUCAUUGUACU
Molecule: long non-coding RNA, 308 nt
Organism: Protopterus annectens (West African lungfish)
Lineage: Eukaryota; Metazoa; Chordata; Ceratodontiformes; Protopteridae
Exons: 3
Source: RefSeq, a predicted model, not a curated record